GAUGAAGAACGUAUCAAAAUGCGAUACUUGGUGUGAAUUGCAGAAUCCCGUGAACCAUCGAGUUUUUGAACGCAAGUUGCGCCCGAAGCCUUUUGGCCGAGGGCACGUCUGCCUGGGCGUCACGCAUCGCGUCGCCCCCCACAAUUCUCCGUAAAGGGAACGUGUGUUUUGGGGGCGGAUAUUGGUCUCCCGUGCUCAUGGCGUGGUUGGCCGAAAUAGGAGUCCUUUCGAUGGACGCACGAACUAGUGGUGGUCGUAAAAACCCUCGUCUUUUGUUUCGUGCUGUUGCUCGCAAGGUAAACUCUUUAAAAACCCCAAUGUGUCGUCUCUUGACGACGCUUCGACCGCGACCCCAGGUCAGGCGGGACUACCCGCUGAGUUUAAGCAUAUCAAUAAGCGGAGGA
This 404-nucleotide unclassified non-coding RNA is filed under the name soil metagenome. Its description in RNAcentral is "partial contains 5.8S ribosomal RNA, internal transcribed spacer 2, and large subunit ribosomal RNA". The stretch from base 1 to 122 matches the Rfam family "5.8S ribosomal RNA", at positions 35 to 154 of the family's 154-position model. The record is from RNAcentral.